CAGCUGAGAUCGGAGAAAACUGAGAUGACAUCGAACGAGAACUGAAACAACGAGACCGUCGACAGUCGUCCGCCUCAUGGAGGUCAAGACGCACAGUGGUUGUUACACGUCUUCCCAGUCCGUCUGGAGGAACACAUGUGCAGCGUCUCAUGUAGAGACGAACGGACACAACAAACCGGAGGCUGCGUGGACGCCUCUGAUGACGCAAACUCUCACGAAACGGCCUGAGGACCAGUUAACACAUCGUCUACAAUAAGAUCAUUCUGACACACAAAUAUGGUCGAACAGGAAGUAGAAGGGUGAAGAAGAAAAGGAUGAAGAAGCUUACACUACACUAAUGGUAAUAUCGGUAGGUGUGUUUCCA
Molecule: long non-coding RNA, 364 nt
Organism: Seriola aureovittata
Lineage: Eukaryota; Metazoa; Chordata; Actinopteri; Carangiformes; Carangidae
Exons: 3
Source: RefSeq, a predicted model, not a curated record